UGCCUCGUAGCCAAGCGGUAAGGCAUCAGACUUUGACUCUGACAUUUCGAUGGUUCGAAUCCAUCCGAGGCAGCCA
This 76-nucleotide transfer RNA is filed under the name Mollicutes bacterium. RNAcentral's name for it is "tRNA-Gln". It matches the Rfam family "tRNA". Rfam says of the family: Transfer RNA (tRNA) molecules are approximately 80 nucleotides in length. Their secondary structure includes four short double-helical elements and three loops (D, anti-codon, and T loops). Further hydrogen bonds mediate the characteristic L-shaped molecular structure. tRNAs have two regions of fundamental functional importance: the anti-codon, which is responsible for specific mRNA codon recognition, and the 3' end, to which the tRNAs corresponding amino acid is attached (by aminoacyl-tRNA synthetases). tRNAs cope with the degeneracy of the genetic code in two manners: having more than one tRNA (with a specific anti-codon) for a particular amino acid; and 'wobble' base-pairing, i.e. permitting non-standard base-pairing at the 3rd anti-codon position. Lineage: Bacteria; Bacillati; Mycoplasmatota; Mollicutes. The record is from RNAcentral.